CUGAACCUUCGGGGAACGAUAACGGCGUCGAGCGGCGGACGGGUGAGUAAUGCCUAGGAAAUUGCCCUGAUGUGGGGGAUAACCAUUGGAAACGAUGGCUAAUACCGCAUGAUGCCUACGGGCCAAAGAGGGGGACCUUCGGGCCUCUCGCGUCAGGAUAUGCCUAGGUGGGAUUAGCUAGUUGGUGAGGUAAGGGCUCACCAAGGCGACGAUCCCUAGCUGGUCUGAGAGGAUGAUCAGCCACACUGGAACUGAGACACGGUCCAGACUCCUACGGGAGGCAGCAGUGGGGAAUAUUGCACAAUGGGCGCAAGCCUGAUGCAGCCAUGCCGCGUGUGUGAAGAAGGCCUUCGGGUUGUAAAGCACUUUCAGUCGUGAGGAAGGUAGUGUAGUUAAUAGCUGCAUUAUUUGACGUUAGCGACAGAAGAAGCACCGGCUAACUCCGUGCCAGCAGCCGCGGUAAUACGGAGGGUGCGAGCGUUAAUCGGAAUUACUGGGCGUAAAGCGCAUGCAGGUGGUUUGUUAAGUCAGAUGUGAAAGCCCGGGGCUCAACCUCGGAAUAGCAUUUGAAACUGGCAGACUAGAGUACUGUAGAGGGGGGUAGAAUUUCAGGUGUAGCGGUGAAAUGCGUAGAGAUCUGAAGGAAUACCGGUGGCGAAGGCGGCCCCCUGGACAGAUACUGACACUCAGAUGCGAAAGCGUGGGGAGCAAACAGGAUUAGAUACCCUGGUAGUCCACGCCGUAAACGAUGUCUACUUGGAGGUUGUGGCCUUGAGCCGUGGCUUUCGGAGCUAACGCGUUAAGUAGACCGCCUGGGGAGUACGGUCGCAAGAUUAAAACUCAAAUGAAUUGACGGGGGCCCGCACAAGCGGUGGAGCAUGUGGUUUAAUUCGAUGCAACGCGAAGAACCUUACCUACUCUUGACAUCCAGAGAACUUUUCAGAGAUGAAUUGGUGCCUUCGGGAACUCUGAGACAGGUGCUGCAUGGCUGUCGUCAGCUCGUGUUGUGAAAUGUUGGGUUAAGUCCCGCAACGAGCGCAACCCUUAUCCUUGUUUGCCAGCGAGUAAUGUCGGGAACUCCAGGGAGACUGCCGGUGAUAAACCGGAGGAAGGUGGGGACGACGUCAAGUCAUCAUGGCCCUUACGAGUAGGGCUACACACGUGCUACAAUGGCGCAUACAGAGGGCGGCCAACUUGCGAAAGUGAGCGAAUCCCAAAAAGUGCGUCGUAGUCCGGAUUGGAGUCUGCAACUCGACUCCAUGAAGUCGGAAUCGCUAGUAAUCGUGGAUCAGAAUGCCACGGUGAAUACGUUCCCGGGCCUUGUACACACCGCCCGUCACACCAUGGGAGUGGGCUGCAAAAGAAGUAGGUAGU
This 1374-nucleotide ribosomal RNA is filed under the name Vibrio sp. RNAcentral's name for it is "bacterial SSU rRNA". It matches the Rfam family "Bacterial small subunit ribosomal RNA", at positions 67 to 1434 of the family's 1533-position model. Lineage: Bacteria; Pseudomonadati; Pseudomonadota; Gammaproteobacteria; Vibrionales; Vibrionaceae. The record is from RNAcentral.